AAGGGCACCACAAGAACGCGUGGAGCAUGUGGCUUAAUUUGACUCAACGCGGGAAAUCUUACCGGGUCCGGACACACUGAGGAUUGACAGGCAAUAUUAAUUUCUGCAGCUUCGGCUAAAGUUAUUAUGUUAAAUAUGCUAGUCCUUUCAUGAUUAUGUGAUAGGUGGUGCAUGGCCGUUCUUAGUUCGUGGAGUGAUCUGUCUGCUUAAUUGCGUUUCACUAAGGGCCUAUAAAUUACGUGUGUUGCGGUACUUUGACCCCUCUUUUUUCACGAGAAGAGCGCGUGUCUUAGUUUGCUUAGCUCACACAAUUAGGUCCUGAAAGCAACGAACGUGACCGCAACCUCUUGUUGCCUUUAUACCAAACAUGGAUAUUCUCUUCGGAGGGUUUCAUGAAAAAAGGCUUUUUAAACUAGAGGGACCGCUGUUACUUUCUUAAACCAGAGGAAGGUUGCGGCAAUAACAGGUCUGUGAUGCCCUUAGAUGUUCCGGGCUGCACACGUGCUACAAUGAUUAUUGCAGUGAGCAUCUCAUUUUUUACACACCGCAUACGCGAGUCCAUUUAUUCACUCUCGGGUGCUUUAAAUGUGCAUCUCUGCGAGCGGUAAAGCCUGCUUCGAAAGUAAGUGGGUAAUCAAUUAGAAGUAAUGAUUUCCUUUUUUUCUAGCACACAUAUAUACGGCGUUUAUACCCGGGCUGCCUUGUUGUAGCUUUUGUGCGUAUAGAUGUUUUUUCCGUAUGUGCGAUUGUCAAUUCAUGGUGGGGACAGACCAUUGUUAAUUGUUGGUCUCGGUCUUAACUAGGAAUGCCUUGUACGGGUCUUUGGUUCAACAAACCACCCGGAAUACGUCCCUGCCCUUUGUACACACCGCCCGUCGCUCUUACCGAUGGACUUCUCUGUGAGUUUGAGGGACUGGGAACGCAGGUUUUUUAUUAAAUCUGCACACCUAUGGAAACUUAAACGAACAGUGUGGUCUAAAGGAAAGAGAAGUCGAACAAGGCA
This 1003-nucleotide ribosomal RNA is filed under the name Epistominella vitrea. RNAcentral's name for it is "SSU rRNA". It matches the Rfam family "Eukaryotic small subunit ribosomal RNA", at positions 1160 to 1801 of the family's 1831-position model. Lineage: Eukaryota; Foraminifera; Rotaliida; Pseudoparrellidae. RNAcentral also lists the same sequence under 1 other name. The record is from RNAcentral.